RNAcentral lists this ribosomal RNA (468 nucleotides) under uncultured bacterium. Its description in RNAcentral is "partial 16S ribosomal RNA". It matches the Rfam family "Bacterial small subunit ribosomal RNA", at positions 28 to 507 of the family's 1533-position model. The record is from RNAcentral.
GACGAACGCUGGCGGCGUGCUUAACACAUGCAAGUCGAACGGAAAGGCCCUGCUUUUGUGGGGUGCUCGAGUGGCGAACGGGUGAGUAACACGUGAGUAACCCGCCCUUGACUUUGGGAUAACUUCAGGAAACAGGGGCUAAUACCCGAUAGGAGCUCCUGCUGCAUGGUGUGGGUUGGAAAGUUUCGGCGGUUGGGGAUGGACUCGCGGCUUAUCAGCUUGUUGGUGGGGUAGUGGCUUACCAAGGCUUUGACGGGUAGCCCGCCUGAGAGCGUGACCGGCCACAAUGGGACUGAGAUACGGCCCAGACUCCUACGGGAGGCAGCAGUGGGGAAUAUUGCACAAUGGGCGGGAGCCUGAUGCAGCAACGCCGGGUGCGGGAUGACGGCCUUCGGGUUGUAAACCGCUUUCGCCUGUGACGAAGCGUGAGUGACGGUAAUGGGUAAAGAAGCACCGGCUAACUACGUG